This 68-nucleotide transfer RNA is filed under the name Marmota monax (woodchuck). Its description in RNAcentral is "tRNA.Ala". The stretch from base 5 to 65 matches the Rfam family "tRNA", at positions 6 to 65 of the family's 71-position model. From Rfam's summary of the family: Transfer RNA (tRNA) molecules are approximately 80 nucleotides in length. Their secondary structure includes four short double-helical elements and three loops (D, anti-codon, and T loops). Lineage: Eukaryota; Metazoa; Chordata; Mammalia; Rodentia; Sciuridae. The record is from RNAcentral.
GGAAUGUGGCUUAGUGGUAGAGCACCUUCCUGGCACGUGUGAGGCACUGAGUUCAAUCCUCAGCACCA